Long non-coding RNA from Panicum virgatum (switchgrass), 2526 nucleotides. RefSeq lists it as uncharacterized. The record is from RefSeq and is a predicted model, not a curated record. The transcript has 3 exons. Lineage: Eukaryota; Viridiplantae; Streptophyta; Magnoliopsida; Poales; Poaceae.
CUGGAAUGGUGUGAAGAAAGGAGACUUCCAUGCAGAAGGAGAUUCUAAGCCUCUUUUAAUACCUGGAGUAUCAGCCAAUCUGACAAAAACAGCUAAUGAGGAUCAUUAUUGUAUGUGCAAAAUCGUGAAGUCUGUACUCAUAUUAUCAUGGAUGAUUCAUGAUUGACAUUGUCAUAAGCAGUGUUACCCUAAAUGUUUAAACAGAGUAAACGGUCAUAGCUAUUUAUUCGGCUAAAUGGUCAUUUAAACAGACUAAAUGGUGAUUAAACGGGGUAAACGGCUGAUUAAACGGAUACGGUAAGCCAUUGUGUAGCGUGUACACAACGUGUACACAGGCUAAACGGCCGUGUACGCGAACAGUGGUCACAAGAUAAUUUAAAAUUCAAAUGUAAAUUUUACUCUAUAAUGGCUUUGAUAGUUUACUUUGCAGUAAUAAGUACCAACAACUGAACGGAUUGUAAAAUGUGAUCAAUAAAUUAACCUCAGAACAAUGGAUUUAAUUCUGAAAAUAAAUUUCAGUACAGCAUGCUAAAAUCUAGAUUAAUAGGGAAAUUUAAUAGGUGACUUGAUCACGAGGAAAUUCUGAUUUGAGCUGCCUUAAAUAAAUCAUGAAGCACUUCGCUUGGAAUUUCCCUUAGAGUUUACACCAGGUUAAACAGUGCUGCGGCUCUAUCCAAGUUGGGGAAUAUUCACACAAUUAACUGCAAUUUGUAUAAAUCAGGAGAAAAAGUAACAAGCGGUUUUGCUGUACUGGGGAGAAUCACAUGGUUCAUGCUGGUACCCCACAAAACUGAGCAAAAAUUUCAAAGAGCAUUGAUGGUUUGAUUUGCAACUACCAGCUGCAAAUACUAAUAGCGUAACUUCAGGAUUCGUGAAUCAAACAUUCAUGGAAACUUCGCACUAAGCAAAACAUAGAAGAGAAUCCAACUUACAUGUUCACAUACUCGUAAUCUGCAUCAAUGCAGGGUAUAGAUUUCUCAACGAGAAGUUCAGAUGGCUUUGAUCUAGAAAAUAUUAUAUCUUUAGAGUUAGACCAAGCCUUUGCACUGGUAUUUAGCCUCUGACUUUCAUAAUUUGGACCAUGCUUAGGUGUAUUGAGGUUGUUGACACUGCUAUCAGUAAGAAUCCCUGCAGAAUGCUGCAUUAAACAAUACAUAGAAGAACAGGAUAAGACAACAAAUGCAAAGAUACAUGAUUGCAAGUUAUAUUUCAAGAUUAAGACUAAGUGCUUUCAGUUUAAGAAACUUUAUUACUAAAUUGAUUUGGCAAGGUGGACCUCCAAUAGAGGAAAUCCAUCACUCAUCAAGCCUAUGACUUUUAAUGUUUUAUCAUUGAAUAAACUAAUAUUGAGUAUAAAUAGACAACUAGUAGACUGAAAGUACGUACUAAACUGUUUGUGGAAUCACUGUUCACAGUGGAACAUCUCUUCCUUCUGUGAAAUGGUUUACCUUUGCAUUGCCUUCAUGUUCUCCCUGAUCAGUAAUUUGAUUUAAAUUUUCUAUGUUUUCUUGAGAAAGCUUGAGCUUCUUUUGAAAUGCAGUUUUCCUUGUCGGUGAAACUAAAUCAACAAAAUCAUCAGGAGUAUCCAUGAAAGAUUUCCCAAUUCUUGUAGAGGACAUGACUGACCUCCCACAAUCCUUUUCAGUAUUCAAUCUCUUUUCAUUUCUUAUAUCAGGACUUGGAGAUGAGAGAUCCCUUGGCCGUUUUUUCAUUAUGGAUGGGGUGCACACAAAACUUUUGGCAGCAUUUUUUAGCACAGCAUCAGGACUACCAUCACGAGUAGGGGAGCCCCACAAUCUUACUGGGGUAGGGAAAUUCAAGGAUGACCUCAUCAACUCUCGAAUGCCAAGAGGACUGUAUUCUGGGAGAUCACUAGAGGUUACAAGCUCGCAGCUGACAAAGGGAACUUCAAAACUUGCAAAGCAAGGAGGUUGUAGGCUCCAAACAUGAUUGUUCAAGAUCAACCAGCUGUUUCUUUUCAGAAUCUGGAUCACCUGAAGAAUUGUGGCAUGUUUUAAUCUCCAAAUCUUGGUGAGAAACAGGAUAGCGACUCGUCUCAAAUUUGACAUCAGAUGCAUUGGAAGCGCCAUCUGAAGAAAUGAAGGAUGGUGGCAAUGAUGUUACAGAACUCUGAUAAUACAAAGGGUCGCCCAUCAUUGUUGCAGGUUCAGAUGUCUGCAAUGAUGGAUAAAGUGGUGCUGAAAAGUUGCUUGCAGCUUCAGAAGGAUGUGAAAUUGGUUGAAUGGAAGUAUUCUGCCACUGUUCAGACUGGAAACAAUCCCCAUUUUUUACGCCCACUUCACACAUCAUAUUUAUGUUAUUCUCACAUCCAGGAACACUAGGUAAGAUGGAAACACAUGGUGUUACAGCAUAUGGUAUCAAAGAUACCCCAUCAUUUUCUGAACUAUGCAUAAUCUGUGUGUCCUGAAAUUGACCUGUAAGCUCAUUGGAUGCCUGGCUAUCUGUUAUCACAAAAUUGUUUGGCACUUCAUCUAUGUCAACAUGCAAAUCCAUUCCUUGAGAAAA